RNAcentral lists this non-coding RNA (30 nucleotides) under Mus musculus (house mouse). Lineage: Eukaryota; Metazoa; Chordata; Mammalia; Rodentia; Muridae. The record is from RNAcentral.
ACAAGGGAAUAUCCUCAAUGUGGACUUUGU